This 1134-nucleotide long non-coding RNA is filed under the name Canis lupus dingo (dingo). RNAcentral describes it as "lncRNA (ENSCAFG00020004196.1)". The record is from RNAcentral. Lineage: Eukaryota; Metazoa; Chordata; Mammalia; Carnivora; Canidae.
AUGGCAUCACCAGAGGAGGCGGCUGGAGAGCCGACGGGAGGCAGACAGGCUCCCCCGGCAGGGGCUGGCCACGGUGCAGCGGGGACCCCGGGCCAGGCCCCCCCUAGACCCAAGGUUUGGGCCACGGUGGCCCCUGCCACCCCGGGACGGUCAGGCGAGCGGCUGCCAUCCCCCGCGUGCCCCUCCCACAACGUCCUGUGGGAGCCCCGGGGCUGCGAGCACGCAGGGGGGGGGGGCUCCUCGGGGGCGGGGCGCGGGAGGAGCGGGGGCGCCACCGGCCAUGCAGCCACCUCGGCCUGGAAGAGGCCCUGCUGCUGCCGGCUGGGCUGGGGCCGCCCUGGGGCUCGGCAUCCGCGUCAGGGCGCCCGGUCCGUCCUGCUGUCUGACCGGCCACGAGCUCGGGGCACCCGGGUGCUGACCCGCAGGCCAGGAAGCAGGUGGGAGGGGUGCCCGCGGCCGCCAGGCGUCCAGGUGCUUGUGGGGCACGGGCCGUCGAGUCGUGGCGCAGAAGCCGGCUGCCCACUCGGGGUGGGGGCGCCGCAGGUCACGGGUCCUGCAGGUGGCCCGCUGCCUGCUUUGGGUUUCCUCUGCCCCUCGCUCCCUCGUGUCCUAGGGACCGAAGAUGAUGGAUCUGUGAUCUGCGAUUGGCGUUGCGUGCUGGGAAUUUCCUGCUCAGCUGAAUCCCACUUCUUUGUAUUUUUUUUAUUAUUAUUAUUAUUAUUAUUAAUCAUCAUUUUUGAGCUUUCUCCUUUGACCUCCGGGUUAUGUGGAAGGCUGUGGUUCUGCUUCCAGGUGACGGGAGACCUUUGUGUUGUCCCCGGGUUACUGGCUUCCAGCUGGGUUCCCCUGGGGUCUGAGGAUCGUCGGCGGUCGCCGUCCUCACGUGCGGGACACGGGGGGCCCUCGGAUCGUGAUGGCACAGGAGGCAGAGGCCGAGCCCUGUGCCCCUGUGGCCUCCAGGGCCCCCGGCCCCAGCAGCGUUGGGUGGGGUGUGGGAGCCAGCGGCCGGCACCUCUAGGGCCGCCCCGUCCUGCUCGUCCCGUCCGUCCUGGUCCCCUUGCCCAGCCCCCCCGUUGGAUGGCCCGCGGUGGGGGCACCCUCUCCAACCCACUGGCCCCGGCGUUGCCCCGGUGA